GACGGAAGGUGCAAGCGUUGCUCGGAAUCACUGGGCGUAAAGGGGGCGUAGGCGGCCGCGCAAGUCUGGCGUGAAAGCCCCGGGCUCAGCCCGGGAAGGGCGCUCGAAACGGCGCGGCUCGAGUGCCGGAGGGGAGAGUGGAAUUCCUGGUGUAGCAGUGAAAUGCGUAGAGAUCGGGAGGAACAUCAGUUGCGAAGGCGGCCACCUGGACCAGCACUGACACUGAGGCACGAAAGCGUGGGGAGCAAACAGG
Molecule: ribosomal RNA, 253 nt
Filed under: uncultured bacterium
Lineage: Bacteria
Description: partial 16S ribosomal RNA
Rfam family: Bacterial small subunit ribosomal RNA
Source: RNAcentral